This is a long non-coding RNA of Polyodon spathula (Mississippi paddlefish), 477 nucleotides long. RefSeq lists it as uncharacterized. Lineage: Eukaryota; Metazoa; Chordata; Actinopteri; Acipenseriformes; Polyodontidae. The transcript has 3 exons. The record is from RefSeq and is a predicted model, not a curated record.
CUCCUUCCCUCCUUCCCUCCCUCCCUCCUUCGCUCCCUCUGUCGACGCUGCCGCGGAUUUGAGAGUUGAGAGUUACGGUAUGACCUUCAGAUCGACAUGUUUAAAUACUCACUACCCGGCUGUGAAUGUGUCGACGAUUCCUCUCUGCGCCUUAAUGAUCUCUCCAGUGCGCCCACCGCACCAGGAAUCAUCUGUUUCUGGUACGGAGUCUUUUUAGAACCACUGUCACAAAUACAGAACAUUGGUAAGAGAUUGGGAUCAGCUCAACCAUCAAGCUAUCCACAGCUGCUCUACAAAGCCUGAUUUCAUUUUGGGUUGCAUUGGUAAAAUACAUAUAACAUCAAAAAGGGAUACAGUAUAGCUCUAUAGAGCAUAGAUCAUUCAUGGUGUAUCAUCUAUGUAGUGUAAAUGUGUGUAGAGCAAUGUGCUUUGAGACAAUCCUGUAAUUUACGUUCCAGAACUGUAAUAAACUCUCAA